RNAcentral lists this unclassified non-coding RNA (23 nucleotides) under Mus musculus (house mouse). Its description in RNAcentral is "oocyte_clustered_small_RNA13968". Lineage: Eukaryota; Metazoa; Chordata; Mammalia; Rodentia; Muridae. The record is from RNAcentral.
UGGAUGCUCUUGGACUCUCCUGA